GAUGAACGCUGGCGGCGUGCCUAAUACAUGCAAGUCGAGCGAACAGACGAUAAGCUUGCUCCUUUGACGUUAGCGGCUGACGGGUGAGUAAGACGUGGGUAACCUACCUAUAAUACUGGGAGAACUUCGGGAAACCGGAGCUAAUACCAGAUAAUAUUUCCAACCGCAUGGUUCGAUAGUGAAAGAUGGCUCUGCUAUCACUUAUAGAUGGUGCGGCGCCGGAUUAGCUAGUUGGUAAGGUAACGGCUUACCAAGGCAACGAUACGUAGCCGACCUGAGAGGGUGAUCGGCCACACUGGAACUGAGACACGGUCCAGACUCCUACGGGAGGCAGCAGUAGGGAAUAUUGGGCAAUGGGCGAAAGCCUGACGGAGCAACGCCGCGUGAGUGAUGAAGGUCUUCGGAUCGUAAAACUCUGUUAUUAGGGAAGAACAACAGUGUAAGUAACUGUGCACGUCUUGACGGUACCUAAACAGAAAGCCACGGCUAACUACGUG
This 497-nucleotide ribosomal RNA is filed under the name uncultured bacterium. RNAcentral describes it as "partial 16S ribosomal RNA". It matches the Rfam family "Bacterial small subunit ribosomal RNA", at positions 28 to 507 of the family's 1533-position model. The record is from RNAcentral.